GCCCUACCCACAUAUAAUCAGUUACAGAGUCCGCCUAUGUGGGAGUAACAACAGUGAGCACGGGACCCGUUCCUCCACACACCAAGAAUGCAGCGAACUGCCCUUCAGGUAGAUCCAUGCUUCUCUUCCAAUUCCGUGUUGUAUCUCCCAAAGCAUUUGACGAGUCCUCUUCAGUGUAAGGCCAAAGUUCGUGGGUGCUGUGGAGAAGAUCACUUGGCAACUGCUCUGCUUGACAGCCGGCGGCGCUCCCUGUCCCUCCGUCCCCUCGCUCCGUCCCUCAGCACCGCGCCCGCCGGGUGACAUUUCC
RNAcentral lists this long non-coding RNA (307 nucleotides) under Gallus gallus (chicken). Lineage: Eukaryota; Metazoa; Chordata; Aves; Galliformes; Phasianidae. The record is from RNAcentral.